CCUACGGAGGCAGCAGUGGGGAAUAUUGGACAAUGGGGGGAACCCUGAUCCAGCCAUGCCGCGUGUGUGAAGAAGGCCCUCGGGUUGUAAAGCACUUUCAGUGAGGAAGAACGCCUGGUGGUUAAUACCCAUCAGGAAAGACAUCACUCACAGAAGAAGCACCGGCUAACUCCGUGCCAGCAGCCGCGGUAAUACGGAGGGUGCGAGCGUUAAUCGGAAUUACUGGGCGUAAAGCGCGCGUAGGUGGCUUGAUAAGCCGGUUGUGAAAGCCCCGGGCUCAACCUGGGAACGGCAUCCGGAACUGUCAAGCUAGAGUGCAGGAGAGGAAGGUAGAAUUCCCGGUGUAGCGGUGAAAUGCGUAGAGAUCGGGAGGAAUACCAGUGGCGAAGGCGGCCUUCUGGACUGACACUGACACUGAGGUGCGAAAGCGUGGGUAGCAAACAGGAUUAGAUACCCUAGUAGUC
This 464-nucleotide ribosomal RNA is filed under the name Vreelandella stevensii. RNAcentral describes it as "partial 16S ribosomal RNA". It matches the Rfam family "Bacterial small subunit ribosomal RNA", at positions 338 to 795 of the family's 1533-position model. Lineage: Bacteria; Pseudomonadati; Pseudomonadota; Gammaproteobacteria; Oceanospirillales; Halomonadaceae. The record is from RNAcentral.